GACGAACGCUGGCGGCGUGCUUAACACAUGCAAGUCGAACGGAAAGGCCCUGCUUUUGUGGGGUGCGCGAGUGGCGAACGGGUGAGUAACACGUGAGUAACCUGCCCUUGACUUUGGGAUAACUUCAGGAAACUGGGGCUAAUACCGGAUAGGAGCUCCUGCUGCAUGGUGGGGGUUGGAAAGUUUCGGCGGUUGGGGAUGGACUCGCGGCUAAUCAGCUUGUUGGUGGGGUAGUGGCUUACCAAGGCUUUGACGGGUAGCCGGCCUGAGAGGGUGACCGGCCACAUUGGGACUGAGAUACGGCCCAGACUCCUACGGGAGGCAGCAGUGGGGAAUAUUGCACAAUGGGCGGAAGCCUGAUGCAGCAACGCCGCGUGCGGGAUGACGGCCUUCGGGUUGUAAACCGCUUUCGCCUGUGACGAAGCGUGAGUGACGGUAAUGGGUAAAGAAGCACCGGCUAACUACGUG
This 468-nucleotide ribosomal RNA is filed under the name uncultured bacterium. Its description in RNAcentral is "partial 16S ribosomal RNA". It matches the Rfam family "Bacterial small subunit ribosomal RNA", at positions 28 to 507 of the family's 1533-position model. The record is from RNAcentral.